Molecule: ribosomal RNA, 207 nt
Filed under: uncultured Cloacibacterium sp.
Lineage: Bacteria; Pseudomonadati; Bacteroidota; Flavobacteriia; Flavobacteriales; Weeksellaceae
Description: partial 16S ribosomal RNA
Rfam family: Bacterial small subunit ribosomal RNA
Source: RNAcentral
UCCGUAGGCGGACUUAUAAGUCAGUGGUGAAAGCCUGUCGCUUAACGAUAGAACUGCCAUUGAUACUGUAAGUCUUGAGUAUAUUUGAGGUAGCUGGAAUAAGUAGUGUAGCGGUGAAAUGCAUAGAUAUUACUUAGAACACCAAUUGCGAAGGCAGGUUACCAAGAUAUAACUGACGCUGAGGGACGAAAGCGUGGGGAGCGAACA